UUUCCCUUUUCCCUAACAAGCCUGAAGAAGGGUCUCGACCCGAAACGUCACCCAUUCCUUUUCUACUGAAAUGCUGCCCGACCCGCUAAGUUACUCAAGCUUUCUGCGUCUAUCU
Amblyraja radiata (thorny skate) is the source of this 115-nucleotide long non-coding RNA. RefSeq lists it as uncharacterized. The record is from RefSeq and is a predicted model, not a curated record. Lineage: Eukaryota; Metazoa; Chordata; Chondrichthyes; Rajiformes; Rajidae. The transcript is spliced from 3 exons.